AGCCCCGGUUCGGCCGCCA
Molecule: microRNA, 19 nt
Filed under: Gallus gallus (chicken)
Lineage: Eukaryota; Metazoa; Chordata; Aves; Galliformes; Phasianidae
Description: microRNA Ros-gga
Source: RNAcentral